RNAcentral lists this ribosomal RNA (330 nucleotides) under uncultured eukaryote. RNAcentral's name for it is "partial 18S ribosomal RNA". It matches the Rfam family "Eukaryotic small subunit ribosomal RNA", at positions 1470 to 1796 of the family's 1831-position model. The record is from RNAcentral.
CCCUUAGAUGUUCGGGGCCGCACGCGCGCUACACUGAAGGAAUCAGCACGUCUUUCUCCUUGUCCGAAAGGACUGGGUAACCCGCUGAACCUCCUUCGUGCUAGGGAUUGGGGCUUGUAAUUCUUCCCCAUGAACGAGGAAUUCCCAGUAAGCGCGAGUCAUAAGCUCGCGUUGAUUACGUCCCUGCCCUUUGUACACACCGCCCGUCGCUACUACCGAUUGGAUGGUUUAGUGAGAUCCUCGGAUUGGUCCCGGCGCGGCCUCUGGUCGUGCCGGAGUGCCGAAAAGAAUGUCGAACUUGAUCAUCUAGAGGGAGUAAAAGUCGUAACA